Molecule: long non-coding RNA, 3334 nt
Organism: Lagenorhynchus albirostris (white-beaked dolphin)
Lineage: Eukaryota; Metazoa; Chordata; Mammalia; Artiodactyla; Delphinidae
Exons: 5
Source: RefSeq, a predicted model, not a curated record
UUUUGACGCACAGGCUCAGCGGCCAUGGCUCACGGGCCCAGCCACUCCGCGGCAUGUGGGAUCUUCCCGGACCGGGGCACGAACCCGUAUCCCCUGCAUCGGCAGGCGGACUCUCAACCACUGUGCCACCAGGGAAGCCCCUGCAGGCUAAAGUUUGAGAGCCACCACUCUAUGCUGAUCUAGAUAAAGAAAAUGAAGAUCAGGGCGGCUUAAGUCACUCGACCGGGAUCGUGCAGCCAGCAAGUUGGGUGCCAGGACUCAAAGCAGGUCUUUCAUGAGAAGAACUCUUGUUUUUUUUCUUUUGUCUCUUCCACUCCCUCCCUCUCUGUCCUCACCCCUCCAUCCUCUAUCCCGGAGGUUCUCAACUUGGCCGUAUAUUGACAUCACCUGGGGAGCUUUAAAAAAUAAUAUUGCUGUUAGGCCUCCACCCUGGGAAACUGAUCUCCGGGGUGUGACGCCAGCAUCUGUACUUUUUAUUCCCUCUUCACAGGCAGCCUUACCCAGAUUCCUUUGCGAUUCCAAAUGUUUCUGAUGCAUGCAUUUGCACUGAGGUGUUAGUAACUGGAUGUGUUACCUUUCUCAGGGUGUCUGCAUUUGAAAAAAGAGCCGAGGACAUAAAAUAAUGAAUUGCAUAAGCAUCUUAGCGAGUGGGAGAGACCAGCUUUUGAUCUCCUUUCUCACACUUGCAGCAGAUUUAUUGCCCUCACACGUCCUGCUAGGAAUCUACCCAGCAGUCUUCGCUGAGAAUUCUGAAUAUGCUGUGGCUUUUCGAGGGGCUUUUUGGGCUAGAAGAACUUGAAUGAAUCAUUUUUGAAUGCCCAUAAGCCAUCAGCCUUGCCCACAGAGGGCAGUCGGUUCAAUUCUAACUAGCAAGCAAAACCAAAAUUAUUCGCCCAAAAUGUUCUUGCUGUUGUUGUUGUUGUUUUUUAACCAUUCCGUGAUGAAUCUUCCCCUGUCGGACCUUUCCCAGCGCCCAUCCAGACAUACUCAGCCACAGAAAUCGAGGUGGUAUGUAUCUAAACCAUAAGUUAGAGUCAUUUCCCAGAUCCCAAUUCAAUCAAAUUUCAGGAGCCCCUUCCCGUGGCUAAUUUUAGGACAUGACAAAUUUUGACGUUAACGCCCCCUUUUCAUUUUUUUAAUUGUGUAAACCUUUUUUUAUUGAAGUAUACUUGAUGUAUAAUAUUACAUUGUCGUAAACCUUUGAUUUUUAAAAAGGAAGAAAAAUAAAAGCCACCCUAAAAUGAUUUUUUUUUUUUUGACUGGCAUCUACGUCUCUACCCUGCUUCCUGCACCUGGUGGGGGACACAGCGCUUCUCCGCCCUUCAGGAAACGGCCCACUUGUCAGCAGCUGGGCUCCCAGGAACAAAGGCCUAGGUUCAUUACCACAGUAUCGACCCUGACACGUUGCACUCGGGCCACCUCCCCCAGAGUUCCUCAAUUCACACCCCAAAUGAAGCGUAAUUGGACCUGGACAUCUUUGAAGUCCCCCGAGCAGCUCGCCAGCAUUUUGAAAUGUCCUCGAUUUGCAUGGUGAAAACCUGGUUGGAGGUGACUUUUUCUUUCCCCUCAUCCCACGGUUUUAAAGACAGAAUGAUUUAAAAUGACAUUCCCCAGCUAGGGAAGAGUUACCAUGGAAGAAAUAAAAAUUCUCAAAGCCCAGAAAAGAAAAGGCCAAAUAAGUCCGAGGAUCUGAUGAAUCUCUCAUCUGCUCCUUUGCUCGGUUUUUGUUCUGCGAGGGCCACAUACCAGGCCGUGGUUUCCUCUCAAACUUCUCCCCACGUCCCCGACCUGGGGGGACGACAAGGAUCCAGGAAACUUGGCUAGGAGGUUCUGCAGGCCAGCGGGUUGCUAUCAGACCUGAAGCAAGAGCAGGAGCCCUGCCACAGGCCGGUCCCUUAAUGGCCGUUUGUAUUGGAGGAAGUUCAUAAGGAUUUGCAGAGGUCCUCCAGGGCCUCUGUGAGGGUGAAGAAACGAGUUCUGCCAACCACGGGUUCUCAAGGAACAUUUGUCUGCUGUGGAAUUAAUCAGAAGUCGCGCCCUCCCUCCCUCUGACAGCUGCAGGGGGAGAGGGUGGAGGAAUUAUCCAGGGAAUGCGAGGGCAAUGGGGGCCACGUGAUAAGAAGGAGAGUUCUCCCUUGUCCCUUUCCAACGCCCCCGCAGAUGUGGCCGAGGAGCCCGGCCCUGCAAGGCCAUGGUGGAGGAAGGAGGCUGUGUAGUAAUGUGGUUAGGGCUCGGCAAACCCGGCUCCAAAAGCCAGCGCUGUUAUGUCACUGGUGUGCGCCUCAGUUUCCUCUGUAGUAAAAUGGGAAUGACUUCCGGGCUGCUUGUGGGGAUUAAGGGAGGUCAGGCGAAUAACGGCCCAGGCACACCAUGGGUUUAGGAGAUGCCGGUUCCUGGGAUUUAUGCAGACCUGUGGCCCUAUGCCCUGUGGGAGUGGAGCCCUAAGCGUAAAUCGUUAACUCCUCAAAGGUAUGUUUGCUGUGCCCUGGGAUUUUCAAAGGGCAGGCUCUCCCAACAGCUCCAGAACCUUGCUACUCAAAAGGCCCGCGGACCGGCAGCAGCCUCACCUGAGAGGCUGUAAGGACGCCCUCAGAUGCUCCCCAGGCCUGUCGAAUCAGAAUUUCUAUAUUAAGAUUCCCUCAGUUUCAAAAUCACAUUUGGAGAAGUGGACCCUCUGUGCAUAAGAACAGCCACUGAGAGAAACAACAACAAAGAUGAACGGGUUGAAAAAGGCAAGUUCUUCCAUUGCCCUCCACGUUUGUCUCUCAUCUCAGGAUUCUGAUCGUCCCCACUGGCCUUUUCCGUGAUGGCUAGAGUUGUAAAAUGGGCCCCAGAGCAGGAUACAUGGCCAUUCGGGGAGGAUUUUUCCCUGGAACUCUCCUGGGUUCUCCUGGACCAGUCCUAGAGGAAGCAAGUGGGUAGAAGCUUACCAAGUCAGCCCUGGAAGGGACCUUGGAGGGCACCUAGUCCAGCCAAGCCAGCUGAAAGGCAGGGUUACCUAGUGGUUGAGCGCACACGUUUGAAGCCAGACAGCCCCAGUUUGAACCAGUUCUCCACCACUUCCUAGCUGUGUGACCUUGGACAAGUUUACUAACCUCCGCCUCAGUUUCCUCAUCUGUCACAUAGUAAUCAUCCUACCUACCUCAGACAGUUGUAGCGGUGACAAAGUGAAUUAACACAUAAAGCAUGAGGAAUAGCACAAAGUGUACAGUAAGCGUUUGAUAAGAGAAAGAAAUGAGGCUCAGAGGAGAAGCAGCCUCCCCGAGGUCACUCAGGGAUUUGCCAAACUGAGCUGGACUCGGUGAAAAAGAGGAGAGGUUACAGCCUCUUGGAA